This 290-nucleotide ribosomal RNA is filed under the name uncultured stramenopile. Its description in RNAcentral is "partial 18S ribosomal RNA". It matches the Rfam family "Eukaryotic small subunit ribosomal RNA", at positions 1543 to 1831 of the family's 1831-position model. The record is from RNAcentral.
UGGGUAAUCUUUGAACGUGAAUCGUGCUGGGGAUAGAUGAUUGCAAUUAUUCAUCUUCAACGAGGAAUUCCUAGUAAACGCAAGUCAUCAGCUUGCAUUGAUUACGUCCCUGCCCUUUGUACACACCGCCCGUCGCACCUACCGAUUGAAUGGUCCGGUGAAAUCUUCGGAUCUGAGAGAUAUUGGAUUCAUUUCUGACGUCUUUUAGAAAAGUUGCUUAAACCUUAUCAUUUAGAGGAAGGUGAAGUCGUAACAAGGUUUCCGUAGGUGAACCUGCGGAAGGAUCAUUA